RNAcentral lists this long non-coding RNA (996 nucleotides) under Citrus x clementina. RNAcentral describes it as "Citrus clementina (C. clementina) long non-coding RNA (CCLE_LNC003644)". The record is from RNAcentral. Lineage: Eukaryota; Viridiplantae; Streptophyta; Magnoliopsida; Sapindales; Rutaceae.
UAUUAUUUAAAAAUAAAAGAAAAGAAGAGAGAGAGAGGUUCGUGUCGGUCAUUUACUUUCCUCCAUACAAGUUUUGAGUUGGAACGACAAGUUUUGGCAAGUUAAUGUGAGUGGAACGACAAGUUAAUACAAUAUUGAAAUUGGGCAUACGGUUAUCAUUGGAUGCUCUAGGGAUUCCGGAAACACGGUCUCUCAAGCUCUGUUGAAUGUUGAAACUGCUGUUUUUGUUACGAUUACGAUGAGACGUCGCAACUUGCCAGCACGAUGUUAUGGCCAUUAAAUUACUUUUUGUUUAUUUAAUCGAGCAGCACCAAUAACACCUGCAAACGCACGAGUUAAUUAACACCAUUAAUCAAUUGUAAUUAACAGUGAAUUAAGUAAUCAACCGACAACGCCCGGAUUAAAGCCUCUAAUUAUCUUCCUAACAGUACUUUGCAUUAACUGGAUUCUUUGUCCUUUCCCAGGUGAAAAAGCAACGUUGUCUUGUUAUUUUAAAUUUUUUAUUUUUAUUUUUAAUAAAUAGUUUGACCGACCGGUGGCAGGGAAAAACCGGUGGGAUGUGAAAAAUGCGGGCGUGGCUGAGAGUGUCCUUUUGAGAUGAUCAAGGCCACACGGUUGGCCACUUGGACGGACCCCUCUUAAUAUCUUAUUAACUUUAAUUGAUAACCUGUUUGAAGCCCGAUAAAAAAGUAUAAAAUUAAAUUAUGAUUACAUUUUUUUUUAACAUUUAUAAUUGUUUAAUAGGGUAUGGGUGAACUUUGGAAAACACCAUUUGUACGGCGGCUUGCCUUCUUUUGGGCUUCACUUAUUGUAUCGCAUUCCAUUUUUCAAUUGCCCUCGUGAGCUGUGUUCAGGGUGUGUAAAAUUACCCAUUAAUAUGCAAAUCUGUCUAAUUUUGUAAGUUGCAAGUAAACUUAGUAUUUUAAAUUUAAACUCAUUGAUUUACUAUUAAGAAAAAGAUCUAAAUAUCUACCGCCCGCAUUCUUUUUCAAUUAU